UUAGGGAGACCUACCCACUCUUAAGCUGAACGCACACUGUUAUUAAGCAAGAGUCGGUCAUCCCGAGGUCGUUCGAGUUUAGAUGUUGGUUUUCAAACUAUUUAGGUUCGGUUUUAUGGGCUAUUAGCUCAGGUGGUUAGAGCGCACCCCUGAUAAGGGUGAGGUCCCUGGUUCGAGUCCAGGAUGGCCCACCUUGAGGAGGAGUUCUGAGUUAAGAGUUCUUAGAUUUGAGAUAAGAGUUUUGAUUAAGCUCCCUCAGGAUCUAAGGACCAAGGCUUGAAACUCUUUAUUUGGGGGUUUAGCUCAGUUGGUAGAGCGCCUGCUUUGCAAGCAGGAUGUCAGCGGUUCGAGUCCGCUAACCUCCACUGGGUAAUAGCAAAUUGUUAUUAGCCAAAUUGCGGAGAGUUCAGCAACUUAUCUAACCAAUUCAUCAAGUUAGAGAGCCUGCUGGAGUAAUCCAGUCAGAACCUUGAAAACUGCAUAGUAUUUGUCAGGUAGAAAGCUAGGUGACAGGUAAUAGGGAACAGGUGGUAGGAAAAACUUAUAGCCUAAUCCUUAGAACUUGCAGCUUAGUAAUCACAGACACCAAUGUGCAACUUGAGAAAGUUGUUGUAAGU
Molecule: transfer RNA, 617 nt
Filed under: Kovacikia muscicola HA7619-LM3
Lineage: Bacteria; Bacillati; Cyanobacteriota; Cyanophyceae; Leptolyngbyales; Leptolyngbyaceae
Description: 16S-23S ribosomal RNA intergenic spacer
Rfam family: tRNA (bases 293-365)
Source: RNAcentral